AGAGUUUGAUCCUGGCUUAGGAUGAACGCUGGCGGCGUGCCUAAUACAUGCAAGUCGUACGAGGUUAAUCCAGCUUGCUGGAGAGACCUAGUGGCGAACGGGUGAGUAAUACGUAAGUAACCUGCCUGCAAGGACUGGGAUAACACCUGGAAACGGGCGCUAAUACCGGAUAGGUAACAGAGGGGCAUCCCACUGUUAUUAAAGGUUAAAGACACAAGCAGAUGGGCUUACGGUGCAUUAGCUAGUUGGUGAGGUAACGGCCCACCAAGGCGAUGAUGCAUAGCCGGCCUGAGAGGGUGAACGGCCACAUUGGGACUGAGACACGGCCCAGACUCCUACGGGAGGCAGCAGUAGGGAAUUUUCGGCAAUGGGCGCAAGCCUGACCGAGCAACGCCGCGUGAGUGAAGAAGAAUUUCGGUUCGUAAAGCUCUGUUGUAAGGGAAGAAUAACACGGAGAGAAUCCGUGCAUGACGGUACCUUACCAGGAAGCCACGGCUAACUACGUGCCAGCCGCCGC
RNAcentral lists this ribosomal RNA (517 nucleotides) under uncultured bacterium. Its description in RNAcentral is "bacterial SSU rRNA". It matches the Rfam family "Bacterial small subunit ribosomal RNA", at positions 8 to 518 of the family's 1533-position model. The record is from RNAcentral.